This 265-nucleotide unclassified non-coding RNA is filed under the name plant metagenome. RNAcentral describes it as "partial contains small subunit ribosomal RNA, internal transcribed spacer 1, and 5.8S ribosomal RNA". The record is from RNAcentral.
UUUCCGUAGGUGAACCUGCGGAAGGAUCAUUACAGUAAUAUGCUGUAGACCUGGUGUCUUGGAUAAAACCAUGGAGUAUAUUCUCCGUGUGGCCUGCAAGGGAAUCCAGCACCGCCCAACCUUGUAAAUCUAAAAACGUUACCUCGGCAGGUUUGCUUGCCGGUGGAUAUAUUAGUUAAACUCUUUUAAAUAUAACUGUAAUCAGUAGUACUGUCUGAAAAUUUAUUAAAUAUUAAAACUUUCAACAACGGAUCUCUUGGUUCUG